GCAAGUAGAGUGGCGAACGGGUGAGUAAUACAUCGGAACAUAUCCAGUAGCGGGGGAUAACCUGUCGAAAGAUAGGCUAAUACCGCAUACGAUCUACGGAUGAAAGCGGGGGACCUUCGGGCCUCGCGCGAUUGGAGCGGCCGAUAUCAGAUUAGCUAGUUGGUGGGGUAAAAGCUCACCAAGGCGACGAUCUGUAGCUGGUCUGAGAGGACGACCAGCCACACUGGAACUGAGACACGGUCCAGACUCC
This 250-nucleotide ribosomal RNA is filed under the name uncultured bacterium. RNAcentral describes it as "partial 16S ribosomal RNA". It matches the Rfam family "Bacterial small subunit ribosomal RNA", at positions 86 to 339 of the family's 1533-position model. The record is from RNAcentral.